RNAcentral lists this small RNA (83 nucleotides) under Marmota monax (woodchuck). The record is from RNAcentral. Lineage: Eukaryota; Metazoa; Chordata; Mammalia; Rodentia; Sciuridae.
GCCAGGCAUGGUGGUGCACGCCCGUAAUCCCAGCAACUCGGGAGGCUGAGGCAGGAGGAUCACAAGUUCAAAGCCAGCCUCAG